GACGAACGCUGGCGGCGUGCUUAACACAUGCAAGUCGAGCGGUAAGGCCUUUCGGGUACACGAGCGGCGAACGGGUGAGUAACACGUGGGUGACCUGCCCUGCACUUCGGGAUAAGCCUGGGAAACUAGGGUCUAAUACCGGAUGGGACCAUUCCAUGCAUGUGGGUGGUGGAAAGUCGGUGCUGUUGUGGUGUCGGCGGUGGGGAGUGGG
RNAcentral lists this ribosomal RNA (211 nucleotides) under uncultured bacterium. Its description in RNAcentral is "partial 16S ribosomal RNA". It matches the Rfam family "Bacterial small subunit ribosomal RNA", at positions 28 to 229 of the family's 1533-position model. The record is from RNAcentral.